AUGAAAUAUACAAGUGGGCGAUGUGCUGGCUUUACUGCAUGUGCACUCUACCACUUUAUCCAAUACACCUGUGCACUAUAGACCUCGGGAUAUGCCCGCCAAUGUGUUGUAAUGACGCCUAGGCAGCGGAGUCAGGCUGAAGUCAGGCUCUGGGUACUUGAGGUAUUUUACACACUCGAAUGAUUAGAACAAACUGUUGCAUAUUGCAUACAUAUA
RNAcentral lists this unclassified non-coding RNA (216 nucleotides) under uncultured fungus. RNAcentral describes it as "sequence contains ITS1". The record is from RNAcentral. Lineage: Eukaryota; Fungi.